AAUAAGUUUUCCUUAGAUUAUCAACAAUACUCUUAACAUUCAGCAUCUUAAUUCUUAUCUUUUAACAUGGUACAUCAUCUCCUCCUUAUUCCAUCACACACACAUUCAAAAAAAAUUUAAUUUAUUAUGAUUUUCUUAAUAAAUUUCAAUAAUAUAUCUCACUAUUUUUACUGUAUAUAAUUUUUUUCCUUUAUGUUUUAUUUUUAUGGUUAUAUAUUAUUAAAAGAGCUACUGUGAUUUAUUUCAAAAAAUUUGAUUUUUUUUAUAUAUCUAAAAUAUGUAAAUUAAUCUCUAUCUAUUGUGUCUAAAAUGAUACAUUUGUAUAUACAAAUAUAUAUAAUUGAAAAUUAAAUUAAAUUAACUAUAGAAAAAUAGUUUUAAAUAAUAAAGGUGAAAAAGAAAUCUAAAACUUUGGUCAACGAAUAACAAUAUAACAUGUGGUAUUGGUAGUCCCAAUUUCGCGUAUUCAACACAUUGAAAGAUUUUAACUAUGUUUAAUAUACUUUAUUGUAUAAUUUAUUUCAACGCUUUUAUUGUAAUGAUUCAAUUACUGUUUAUUCAAAAAAAUGUUUCAAUUAAUGAUUAUUUAUUAAUCACAUCAACUAUUUUUUUCUCAAACUCGAGACCAUAUAUUUAGACCAUUCAAAUUUAUUUAAAUAUUUUCUAUAUUAUAGUGGAAUUCAUUAUAAGGUUUGGAUAUAAAUAGAAUAAGCUAUUCCAUUUUCUAUGCAUAAAAGAAAACAUGAAUAUCUAUUUUGGGAAAAUGUAAAAUUACCUCUCGAUACUAUUAUAAAAUAGAAAUGAAUUGAAAAUAGUCUUAGACCUAUCAUGAAAAAUCUUAUACUAUAAAGAAGACUAUUCCAUUCUUCUCAUGCUGCCACGUCAGUAAAUAAGUAAGGGAGGAGAAGACACAUGUCUCAUUAAACUAAAAGGCUUCUUUUAAUUUUCGUAUGGACUUAAACGAUUGUAUUAUUUGUGGGCUCUGAAUAAUGGAUUUUGGCCUGAGAAAGAAAGUAAACCUUGGGCCGUUGUUUUCCUGCACCUACCUCCUUCACGAGAAGCGUUCUAGGGUUCUUCUUCUUCUCCAAAAUCUGAUAACGUCUACAAACAAUGGAGUUAGGGAUAGGGGAGACGAGGCUUCGUAAUUCGUCAGAUCGUGUUGUUUCGUGAUCGAUUCUUCUCUCGCCCCCGAACCGUUACAAGUUGCAUUUAUUAACCACCAUUCAAUGAUCCUUAUCUCUUUUCUCAGCCUAAACAGGCUAUAUAAGUACCUGCCUGUGGAAUGCAUUGAUAUCAAUCUCAAUGGAUUAUAGAAGCUUGGUCUCUUCUGGACAGAGAAGCCUUGAAAUCCAGCACGCUUCAUCUUCCAAUUAUUAAAAAGUUGUGGGUUUAUAUUCCAGAUCUCAAGCAUACAAUUUGUUCAGCUGUUGAUGUCGUGCACGGUAUGGUGUCUUCCAUAUUCUCACUGAUAUCAAGGUGGUGAUAAUAUGAAAGGGUGGACUGAGAAGAUGAGCGAUGAUGAGCUUGAGAUAGUGAGGAAUGCCAGUGGUGUGCUGCUUCAAAGAGAGAUCCCAGACUCAAUCAACAUUCAAGUUGCUAAAAUUCGUAUCAAGUUUUUAAAUUUAUUUGAUUCUAAUCUUGAUUUUAUUCAAGGAUGCAUCUUUUUGUUUAGAUAGAGAAAUGGUGUCGUGGAUAAGAUAUAGCAUUUGGAACUGGAAUGGAGAUUGAUCAUAUAUUAUUUGAAUCAUCAUGAUGAGAUUUCCAAUGGAACAUUAUGUUGAGUAGAAUUUUCUAAGUAACUUAAGUUGGUGGGGGAUGUGUUGCAGGCUGUGAAGAGAGCAGUUGUUCCGGUCAUCCUUGACGUGGGAGGAAUGAAUACGCCAAUCCCUAAUGAGCUAUUGGAUUCAGUCGACGUCUUAAGCUCGAAUGUAUCUGAGCUCAGUCUCUUGACCGGAAAGCAUACUAAAACUUUUGAACAGUUUAGCCAGGCUGUUGCCAUAAGUUGGUAUAUAAUUCUUCUUUUGCACAUUACCAGUACUGAAACUCCCAGAUUUUGGUUACUGGCUUUGUGAGUUUUAGGCUAUCAGUCUGAAAAAAAUUGUAAUUAGGGCUGUGUAUAUUAUUAACGAAAACCACAUGUGUUGUCGUCAACAUUCGUUGAGCAUCUCUCGGAAACUAUCUAAUCCCUCCCCGCCGUUUUGAGUCAGAAGUAAAAGUGUUUGUGCUCUCCCAAGACACAACCGCUGCAGUUUUCACCGCCGAUUAGAAAACUAGAAGGUCGCCCCAGAUUUGUCAAACAAGUGUGGUGAGCAUGUCAAUGAGAGCAAAGGUAGUUUCAUGAGGUUUAGCAACACAAGAGUGUAACCUGUUAUUCCUCUCCCUCCAUAGGAAAUAGAAUGUUCUUCGAGUGACCAGUUUCCUUUGUAACAUACAAGAGCGCCCUCCUGCCGGAAAGAGAGGAGACAAGCGAUCCAGUUUCUUUCAAAUUUUGAUUAGAUAACAUUAUUGUGUUGACAAAAAGAAAGUUAACAGUAUUUUAUCAUAUUAUAAAUGAUAUAGUUUAAAUUCCAUAAUCUCAUAUUUGAAAAAAAAACAAGAUAUGCGAAAACAUAACAUUGUUUGAAUCCAUUUUCAAAACUAAUCAAACCAUCUGAAAAGCACUCAAAGAAUUUUUUUUUUUCAAAUCGUCUAUUUAUAUAUUUCAAACCUUUGAUUAAAGAAUCAUUAGCACCAUUAUAAGAUUUUAUAUAGCCACGUAAAAAGGUUUCUCAAUUAAAGAUUUAGAUCAUGAGUGAACUAAAUAUAAAAAUAUUUAUCGUUCUUAAUAGUUUAAAUAUUAUGUAUAAAAGAAAUGUAAUAACUAUAAAAAGUUUUUACUAUCAUAUCCAAUUACUUACUUUCAUAGACAAAUAAAUGAAUAGUAAUAAAAAUGAAGCCAUUAACGUUUUCAUAGAAUUUUUUAAAAAGAUGAGAUAAUAUUUGUCUAAUAAUAAUAAGAAAACAAAUAAUUAAAGUUAAUGUUAUUUUAAUUGACAAUAAAAUUAUAUUAUCAAAAUUUUAUUACAAUUUAAAAUAUUUUUUUAUUAUUUAUUUAUUCACAUGCCCGCCCGUAAGGCGGAUUUACCGUAGUGAUGUUUAUAAACUACAGGCUAUUCACGUCAAAAGUUUUUUUUUUAAUUUAAGCGAUUUUGUUUUUUAUUGAAUUACAGGUUUGACUCAUUUUUAAUAUGUUUUAUUUUGAAUUUUUUAAAAAUAAAUUUAAAUAAUUUUUGUUUUCUCUUCAUUAAAAUUUUCCUCUUAUCCCCUUUUUAUUAUUUGGGGAGCAUUUAAAAUAAAUAACCUUUAGUUCAUGUGUUUAUUACAAAUGUGCCAUUUUUUACGUGGCAACUCCACAAGCUCUCUCACCUAUUCUAUUUAAAAACUCUUUGUUAACUAGAGUAAUUACACAACAUGCCAUUGAUCAAAACAUUAUAAUUACCUUAGCUUUGUCUAAAUAUAUUCGUAUCACAUAUAUACAUAUCACAUUAAAAGUUGUUAUCAUUUAUUUCUUGCGUUUAAUUACCUUAACCGAAGUUUUUUCAUUAAUUUGUUAAUUACCUUAACUGAAUUCUUUUCAUUAUUUUUUUUCAAUACAAAAACAUUACUUUUUUCUGUACAUAUAUAUUAGUCUAAUUUUUUAUUCAAAAUGAAUAUAGAACCAAUAACCAACUUUCAUAUUACAACAAAGAAAUUUAUAAGAAACGAAAAAAUUAACGUUUGAUGAUCGAUCAAAGUUUGUUUUCUUAAAAAUACUAAAAAGUAUUUGAUGAUCAAUACGUGCUCAAGUGAUUGAUUUUCUAAAAAAUACCAAAAAAUAUUUGUUCUCUUAAAAAUACAUCAAGAAGAAAAGUUUAUUUUCUUAAAAAUACUAAAAAGUACGAGGUGCGAUUCACUCUGAUUCAUAAAUGAUUAUUUUUCUAUCAUUAGUAUUUUUAUAAAACGUGCCAGUAAUGUUUGAUGAUUAAUCAAAGUUUGUUUUCUAUCUGUUUCCUAUACCACCUCUUUCUGAUUGAUUUCUUUUAAAGGAAUUUCCUAUAUUUCCUCUUGAUGUUUCCUAUAAUAUCUAUGCAUUUAUCCAUAAGCCAUUAUGAUUGAUUUUUUGGUUUCAAUACACAUUAUAUUCACGAUACUCAUGCAAUAUUUUCUGCACAAGUUCAAUCUUUGAAAUAAUGUAAUUGGUGCAAGAUUGAAACACAUUGACAAAUUUGCAUAUGUAGGAUACUUAGUUGUUCGAAUUAGCCAAAUAUGGUAACAGCUGAUUGAUUGAUCAAUCACAUUAUACACCUUCUAUUUAAUUAAAAUGUGUAAUAUAUUUUUUUCACUAUAAAUAUAUGGCUAAUACAAUCCAUCGACUAUCAUCAUUUUUUUUUUAAAUUACAAGAUAUUUACGGGGCUUUAGUAGAAGUUGGAUUUGUCAAAGAAUAUAUGACAGAACCUACUCACGGAAACAAUGGUUUCAUCGACCAUAAAAUACGUUCUUUGUCCAAAACAUGGAGUAAGUAUUUCACGUUUGAAAUUAAAAGUUACUCAUUUAAUUACUUUCAUAUUGUCUAAAUGAAUUUUUUUCACUGAUUACAGUAAUGUUGUUAUCAAGUGUGUCACUUAUGGAACCCUUGCUCAUGUUUUCCAAGACUUAUGGAAUUCUACAAAUGCAAAUGUUGUACUCUGUGUGUUACAAUUUUGGCAAAUUAAUUGGGGAGUAGGUAAUAUAUUGUACUAAUUUGUAAUAAACAAAUGGCUGGAUCUGAUAUUCCCUUCGUAUAUUGCUGAAUAUUUUUUUUUUCAUUUUAAGCUCGACUGAAGCACGUGACAAUAGGAAUGGUAAAGUGGGUACUGGACCGCGGGCCCGGCCCGUUAGGGGUUGGUGCGGGGCGGGUUUGGGCUAAGAAUAUCAUGACCCGCAAAAAAGCGGGCCUGGCGGGCUUGAGCUUGCUCUGGAUAUCAUUACUCGUUUUAGCUAGCUACGUAACUAAGUAGCUGACCAAAGACGUUUUUGUUGUUUCUUCAGUUUGAUGGGGAACAAAGCGGGUACAUUUGAAGAUAUUGUGGACGCAUACUUGGCAUAUGGAGUGAUGUCUCGAUAUAACAGCCAAAGGACCUCGGGUUAGUGCUUCUUACGCAUAAGUAGUAAGCAUUGCUAGGAUCACGGUUUAGAUAGGGGAACUCAUUGUUUAGAUAGGAGUCACGGUGUAGGUAGAGAAUGUUGUUUGAACUGUUGUUUGAACUGUUUUUUUAGAAUGUUGUUUGAACUGACUUAGAACUCGGGAAUGUUUGAGAAUAUUGUUUGAACUGUUGUUUGAGAAUGUUGUUUGAAAUCGAUCAUGUUAGUGCGAAUGUUUGAGAAUGUUGUUUGAACUAUUGUUUGAGAAUGUUAAAUUGUCAGGAAGCGAUCACGUCUAAAUUUUUAAUUUUUAAGUUUCCUAAUUUUACAAAAUUGAAUAAAAAUAGGGAUCAAAUUAAAAAAACCCUACCUCCAUUCUGUGACGUCCCGCGGGACGGCCCGCGAAGGCUUACACAUUUUGCGGUACGGGAUUGGGCAGCUAGUUUCAGGACCGCGUCCCGCGCGGGACGGUCCCGCCGAGUACCGCCAGAAGACAAACCCGCAGCGGGUCGGGACGGGACGGGACGGGACGGGACGGGACGGGACGGGAGAGCCCAAUUGCCAUCCCUACGUGACAACAUUGAUGGGUUUUCCAAAAUUAUUUUUGAACCCAAAGAUGUUCCAGAAAUCAAUGUUUUCAGAAAGAGGUAUAUCCCAUUAGUUCAUUUUGUGAAUUUGGUAAGUAUGUAUGUUUCGCUUGUUAAACUAAUUCUUACUUUUUUCUUGGUAUACAAUUGCAAACUACGAGUUCUGAAAAUCCUUUUCGCGGCACUUUGUUUUUUCAGAUUUUUAUUUAUUUCUUUAUAAUUUGGGACCUUAGUACUUUGGUUUUUUUAACCUAUGUUUCUUCUUAUAUUAUAAUCAUAAUUUUAUUAUGCCAGGAAUAAUUCUAUUUCUUAUGUUUUGUUUUGUCUUAAAUUCAUACUCCCUCUGUUCCUAAAUAUAUGAUGUUUAGAAUAGUUUUUAUGUUCCAAUAUGUAGGAUGUUCUUAUAUUUCUAGGUAACUUUAGGUUUAUCAAAAACUGUGUAACCAAUCAAAUUUAAUAGUUUUAUUUUAAAAAUUGGUUGAAUAGUUUUUAAUUUAAAAUUUUAAUGAUACUUUUUAGAUAAAAAGUAACUUUUUUAAUAAGUGUGUUUUAUCUAAAAAAUCUUAUAUUUAGGAACAUAGAGAGUAAUAAAUUAAUAU
Long non-coding RNA from Brassica napus (rape), 6326 nucleotides. RefSeq lists it as uncharacterized. NCBI's taxonomy places the organism in Eukaryota, Viridiplantae, Streptophyta, Magnoliopsida, Brassicales, Brassicaceae. The record is from RefSeq and is a predicted model, not a curated record. The transcript is spliced from 5 exons.